GUCCACGCCGUAAACGAUGAGAACUAGAUGUUGGGAGGGUUGCCUCCCGGUGUCGCAGCUAACGCGUUAAGUUCUCCGCCUGGGGAGUACGCCGGCAACGGUAAACUCAAAGGAAUUGACGGGACCCGCACAAGCGGUGGAGCAUGUGGUUUAAUUCGAUGCAACGCGAAGAACCUUACCUGCCCUUGACAUACUCGGAACUUUCCAGAGAUGGAUUGGUGCCUUCGGGAACCGAGAUACAGGUGCUGCAUGGCUGUCGU
This 260-nucleotide ribosomal RNA is filed under the name uncultured bacterium. RNAcentral's name for it is "partial 16S ribosomal RNA". It matches the Rfam family "Bacterial small subunit ribosomal RNA", at positions 793 to 1055 of the family's 1533-position model. The record is from RNAcentral.